UCUCCGUAGGUGAACCUGCGGAGGGAUCAUUACCGAGUGAGGGUCCUCGCGGCCCGACCUCCAACCCCCUGUCUUCUGACUCUGUUGCCUCGGGGGCGACCCGGCCUUCGGGCGUCGGGGCCCCCGGUGGUCCACACCUCAACUCUUGGAUCUGUGUGUCCGAGUAACAUAUUGAAUCAAUCAAAACUUUCAACAACGGAUCUCUUGGUUCUGGCAUCGAUGAAGAACGCAGC
This 233-nucleotide unclassified non-coding RNA is filed under the name uncultured fungus. Its description in RNAcentral is "sequence contains ITS1, 5.8S rRNA gene". The stretch from base 185 to 233 matches the Rfam family "5.8S ribosomal RNA", at positions 1 to 49 of the family's 154-position model. The record is from RNAcentral. Lineage: Eukaryota; Fungi.